This 499-nucleotide ribosomal RNA is filed under the name uncultured bacterium. Its description in RNAcentral is "bacterial SSU rRNA". It matches the Rfam family "Bacterial small subunit ribosomal RNA", at positions 8 to 518 of the family's 1533-position model. The record is from RNAcentral.
AGAGUUUGAUCCUGGCUUAGGAUGAACGCUGGCGGCGCGCUUAACACAUGCAAGUCGAACGGUUAAAGCACCUCCGGGUGUGCAUAAAGUGGCGAACGGCUGAGUAACACGUGGGCAACCUGCCCCCCGCACCGGGAUAGCCUCGGGAAACCGUGGGUAAUACCGGAUACUCCGCCACCCCCGCAUGGGGGAGGCGGGAAAGCGUACACGGCGGGGGAUGGGCCCGCGGCCUGUUAGCUCGUUGGCGGGGUAACGGCCCACCAAGGCGAUUAUGGGUAGCCGGGUUGAGAGACCGACCGGCCAGAUUGGGACUGAGACACGGCCCAGACUCCUACGGGAGGCAGCAGUGGGGAAUCUUGCACAAUGGGCGAAAGCCUGAUGCCAGCGACGCCGCGUGCGGGACGAAGGCCCUCGGGUUGUAAACCGCUUUCAGCAGGGACGAGGCGCAAGUGACGGUACCUGCAGAAGAAGCCCCGGCUAACUACGUGCCAGCCGCUGC